UACAGAGGGGGCAAGCGUUGUUCGGAAUUACUGGGCGUAAAGGGCGCGUAGGCGGCCUGUUAAGUCGAACGUGAAAUCCCCGGGCUCAACCCGGGAACUGCGUCCGAUACUGGCAGGCUUGAAUUCGGGAGAGGGAUGUGGAAUUCCAGGUGUAGCGGUGAAAUGCGUAGAUAUCUGGAGGAACACCGGUGGCGAAGGCGGCAUCCUGGACCGAUACUGACGCUGAUGCGCGAAAGCCAGGGGAGCAAACGGG
RNAcentral lists this ribosomal RNA (253 nucleotides) under uncultured bacterium. RNAcentral's name for it is "partial 16S ribosomal RNA". It matches the Rfam family "Bacterial small subunit ribosomal RNA", at positions 524 to 776 of the family's 1533-position model. The record is from RNAcentral.